GCCAGCACAGUGCAGUGGUUUGAGCGCUGGACUAAGGCUCUGGAGAUCAGGGUUCGAUUCCUUGCUCGGA
Non-coding RNA from Phrynosoma platyrhinos (Desert horned lizard), 70 nucleotides. NCBI's taxonomy places the organism in Eukaryota, Metazoa, Chordata, Lepidosauria, Squamata, Phrynosomatidae. The record is from the annotation of a GenBank genome assembly.